This is a long non-coding RNA of Galleria mellonella (greater wax moth), 1047 nucleotides long. RefSeq lists it as uncharacterized. The transcript has 3 exons. The record is from RefSeq and is a predicted model, not a curated record. Lineage: Eukaryota; Metazoa; Arthropoda; Insecta; Lepidoptera; Pyralidae.
UCUCUGAUGGGAAGUGACGAUGUAAUCGAAGAUGAAAAUCGCGAUGCUGUGCAUACCUCAUUUACAUUUGUCUUAAAUAGGUCUAAAUUGUAUGUACUCGUACUUGGAAAAAUAUACGCAGGGAGAGUUUUACUUCUUAAUAGUACUGUUUUCAUUAUGCCCACGCAAUAUGAUCUACGGUACAGUCAAUUAUGAAUGGUAAUUGGGGGUGGAGGCUAGAGCGUCUCUUUACUGUAAUCUGAGCUCGGGAUGUCAUGGUAACGCUACAGAGGUGCGGGAAUGGGAGCGGAAGCGGGUUGCAGGAGCGAGAGUAGGAGCGGGAGCUAGAGCAGACGCGGGUGACGGGCGCGCGGGUGACGGGCGCGACCCUGACUCUUGAAAUAGUCUUCCGCGUUAAUGCUGUGAGCGAAAAUAUCGCAUGAUGCUGCUGCAAGGUCACCUGAACACCACCCCCGUCCCAGACAACCGCGCCAUAUAAGGACUAAAACUGCGGAACUUAAAAGUACUUCAGGGUGGAUGGCGCAGGCGUACAUUCGAUCACGUUACGAUUCCGUGGAGUACGCACGCACUACGCCACGUGUCGAGAUAAUCGUGCGCUUUUGCGUCGCAACCAACACACUGCAUUCAAACAUGCGAUGUCUUUGCACUGUACUAAGAGACAUAGGUGGCUGGUGGUGUGACCCUAGCGACCUUGUGGCGACCUUAGCCGCCCACCCGCAUCCGCUCCCUCCGACACGCGGCCCUCCCAGGACACUGAGUACGUUUCGCAACCUUGGAACAAUCAGGGAAGCCUCCUUUUCAGAUUUAAUUUCAAACUCAUCGUUGCUAAUCAACGUUUCAUUAUUACUUAAAAGUCUUCAGAAAGAAUCGGCAGAAUUAAUUCAAUAUAGACCUUAUUAAUAACAAUACAAUAUAAUUUAAUCAAAGUCUGCCUACGAAAUUUAAUUAAGGUUUAUUCAGAUGAACUUCCUUACGAGUUAUUACUGCGUAGACGCGUUUCGAUUGUAUCGAAUUUUACUAUUAAUUAAACGAAUUAAAUAUAGUCUA